Molecule: ribosomal RNA, 239 nt
Filed under: uncultured bacterium
Lineage: Bacteria
Description: partial 16S ribosomal RNA
Rfam family: Bacterial small subunit ribosomal RNA
Source: RNAcentral
AUUAACGCUAGCGGCAGGCAUAAUACAUGCAAGUUGAACGGCAGCACAGGUAGCAAUACUGGGUGGCGAGUGGCGCACGGGUGCGUAACACGUAUGCAACCUACCCUAUACAGGCGAAUAACCUUUAGAAAUGAGGGCUAAUACGCCGUAGUAUUACAGAUGGGCAUCUAUUUGUAAUUAAAGAUUUAUCGGUAUAGGAUGGGCAUGCGUCCCAUUAGUUAGUUGGUAAGGUAACGGCU